UACAGAGGGUGCAAGCGUUAAUCGGAAUUACUGGGCGUAAAGCGUGUGUAGACGGUUGCGUAAGUCAGAUGUGAAAGCCCCGGGCUCAACCUGGGAAUUGCAUUUGAGACUGCGUAGCUAGGGUGCGGAAGAGGGAAGCGGAAUUUCCGGUGUAGCGGUGAAAUGCGUAGAUAUCGGAAGGAACACCAGUGGCGAAAGCGGCUUCCUGGUCCAGCACCGACGUUCAGGCACGAAAGCGUGGGGAGCAAACAGG
Molecule: ribosomal RNA, 253 nt
Filed under: uncultured bacterium
Lineage: Bacteria
Description: partial 16S ribosomal RNA
Rfam family: Bacterial small subunit ribosomal RNA
Source: RNAcentral